Lactuca sativa (garden lettuce) is the source of this 484-nucleotide non-coding RNA. The record is from RefSeq and is a predicted model, not a curated record. NCBI's taxonomy places the organism in Eukaryota, Viridiplantae, Streptophyta, Magnoliopsida, Asterales, Asteraceae.
CUGAAAACCCUAGCUUUUGAUUUUUCUGAUUUUCUAUUCAUAAAUUGCUAAAUGUUUUGAUUUUUCGUGUCUUCACUGAUUUCGCUUUGGUUCGUCCUCUGCACGCCUCAAAGACCCUUCCCCUGUACGCUUUCUUCUCCUACCGGUGUAUUACCCCGACAAUCUCAUCGAUUUCUACCCACCUACAGUAAGGUAGCCUCCACGCCGACACAACAACCCCUUCGAAUGGCGUAGCUUCAUCUAAGUCUAAAAUUUCUGAUCUUAAGCGGUUCAAAGAAUGGCUAUGCUCAGCUAGAAUCAAGUUGAAUUAAAUUUACCAAAUUGGAACAAGACUACAAGAGUUGCAAGGAGAUAGGGCUCAAAUGAUUAUAUAUUUCUCUGUUUUCUACAAUUAAAUGCAACUUGUUUGUUAAAUAAUUUGAAUGUCCUCACUGCAUGUAUUAUGCCAUUAUAUCUUAUAAAAUUUAUGGGUUAAUUUUUGUUA